Molecule: ribosomal RNA, 459 nt
Filed under: uncultured bacterium
Lineage: Bacteria
Description: partial 16S ribosomal RNA
Rfam family: Bacterial small subunit ribosomal RNA
Source: RNAcentral
CCUACGGGUGGCAGCAGUGAGGGAUAUUGGUCAAUGGUCGGGAGACUGAACCAGCCAAGCCGCGUGAGGGAUGAAGGUACAGAGUAUCGUAAACCUCUUUUGUCAGGGAACAAAGGCGGGGACGUGUCCCCGGAUGAGUGUACCUGAAGAAAAAGCAUCGGCUAACUCCUGGCCAGCAGCCGGGGUAAUACGGAGGAUGCGAGCGUUAUCCGGUUUGAUGGGGUUUAAAGGGUGCGCAGUGGGUAGGUUAAGUCAGCGGUCAAAGCCCGGGGCCAAACCCGGGCCCGCCGUUGAAACUGGCAGUCGCGAGUUGGAGAGAAGUAUGCGGAAUGCGUGGUGUAGCGGUGAAAUGCAUAGAUAUCGCGCAGAACUCCGAUUGCGAAGGCAGCAUGCCGGAUCCACACUGACGCUGAGGCACGAAAGCGUGGGUAUCGAACAGGAUUAGAUACCCGAGUAGUC